CCGGGGCUCUGACUGGUCGGGGGCUGCGCAGCCGCCAUGUUCGGUUGCUAUGCUGCGGCCUCGGAGACGGGGUGUGCUUGAGAGAGGAGGAGGAGACGGAGGAGGCGGUGGAGGCGAGGGAGGAGGAGGAAGGAGAGGAGGAGGAGAAGGAGGAGGAGGGUGACCGAGGCUCUCCUUUGCACUCUCACACAGAGCCGCCUCCCUGGAGUCACCCGCCGCUUCACGCCGCGCGCGCUUCCCUGCUCCGCGGACGCGACAUUGUUCUUUUAAGACUCCCGGGAGCUGUCAGAAAUCGGGGCUCCGGGACUUGAAAGAGACUUGACUUCGGCCCGCAGCUUGCGGGGACCGCGGCACUUUCGGGGCGCGUGUGAAGGGAUUAGCUCAUCUCGCCGCGAGGUGCGAGCGCGCGCCUCCCCGCGCACGCCAGCCCCGCCGCAGCCCCGCAGGAUGACGGGGUGCAGGCGGCCCGCGGCCGUGGCGCGGCCGCUGUGGCGGCGGCUGUUCUCGGGACGCUGAGGGCGAGCACCUCGACGCGGACCACGCGCUUCUUUCACCCGGCCGCGAGCCCGGGGCCUCCUGCCUUUUUGUAUUUGGAUUCCCCCCCCCCCCCCCCUUUCUCCAGCCGGGAGGACGCGGCUGUGAUAACGAAGGUUUUGUGUGGACAGUAAUGACCGCACGUUUCCGAUUGCCUGCUGGCAGAACCUACAAUGUCCGAGCAUCAGAGUUGGCCCGAGACAGACAGCAUACAGAGGUCGUUUGCAACAUUCUUCUUCUGGAUAACACUGUACAGGCUUUCAGAGUUAACAAACAUGAUCAGGGGCAAGUUCUGUUGGAUAUAGUCUUCAAGCAUCUUGAUUUGACUGAGCGAGACUAUUUUGGUUUACAGUUGGCUGACGAUUCCACAGAUAACCCAAGGUGGCUGGAUCCAAACAAACCAAUAAGGAAGCAGCUAAAGAGAGGAUCACCUUACAAUUUGAACUUUAGAGUCAAAUUCUUUGUAAGUGACCCCAACAAGUUACAAGAAGAGUAUACAAGGUAUCAGUACUUUUUGCAAAUUAAGCAAGACAUUCUUACUGGAAGAUUAUCCUGUCCUUGUAACACUGCUGCCCUUUUAGCAUCAUUUGCUGUUCAGUCUGAACUUGGAGACUACAAUCAGUCAGAAAACUUGGCAGGCUACCUCUCAGAUUAUUCUUUCAUUCCUAAUCAACCUCAAGAUUUUGAGAAAGAAAUUGCAAAGUUACAUCAGCAGCACGUUGGCCUAUCUCCUGCAGAAGCAGAAUUUAAUUACCUAAACGCGGCACGUACCUUAGAACUCUAUGGAGUUGAAUUUCACUAUGCAAGGGAUCAAAGUAACAAUGAAAUCCUGAUUGGAGUGAUGUCAGGAGGAAUUCUGAUUUAUAAGAACAGGGUACGGAUGAAUACUUUUCUGUGGUUGAAGAUUGUAAAAAUUUCUUUUAAAUGCAAACAGUUUUUUAUUCAACUUAGAAAAGAGUUGCAUGAAUCUAGAGAAACAUUACUGGGAUUUAAUAUGGUGAAUUAUAGAGCAUGUAAAACUUUGUGGAAAGCGUGUGUAGAACAUCAUACAUUCUUCCGCCUGGAUAGACCACUUCCACCUCAAAAAAAUUUUUUUGCACAUUAUUUUACAUUGGGUUCCAAAUUCCGGUACUGUGGGAGAACUGAAGUCCAGUCAGUUCAAUAUGGCAAAGAAAAGGCAAAUAAAGACAGGGUAUUUGCAAGAUCUCCAAGUAAGCCUUUGGCACGGAAAUUAAUGGAUUGGGAAGUAGUCAGCAGAAAUUCAUUAUCUGAUGACAGGUUAGAAACACAAAGCCUCCCAUCCCGGUCUCCACCUGGAACUCCCAACCAUCGGAAUUCUUCAUUCACACAAGAGGCAACCCGGGUUCGGCCGUCUUCAGUUGGUCAUUUGGUAGACCAUGUGGUUCACAUGUCCCCCAGUGAGGAUUUUGUAAGUCAGAGAUCUCCAUCAUCAACGCAAGCUAAUAGCAUAGUUCUGGAGUCAUCACCAUCACAAGAGACCCCUGAAGAUGGGCAGCCACCAGCUUUACCACCCAAACAAUCUAAGAAAAAUAGUUGGAACCAAAUUCAUUUUUCAAACUCUCAGCAAGAUCUAGUCACCCAUACUAAUGAAUCCUUUGAUGUGCCCUCUUCCCCUGAAAAGUCCACUCCUAAUGGUGGCAUUCCACAUGAUAACCUUGUUCUAAUCAAAAUGAAACCUGAUGAAAAUGGAAGGUUUGGAUUCAAUGUAAAGGGAGGAUAUGAUCAGAAGAUGCCUGUAAUUGUUUCCCGGGUAGCACCAGGAACACCUGCUGACCUCUGUGUCCCUCGCUUGAAUGAAGGGGACCAAGUGGUACUAAUAAAUGGUCGGGACAUUGCAGAACAUACCCAUGAUCAAGUAGUCUUGUUUAUUAAAGCUAGCUGUGAGAAACAUUCUGGGGAACUCGUGCUCCUAGUCCGACCUAAUGCUGUAUAUGAUGUAGUGGAAGAAAAACUAGAAAGUGAACCAGACUUCCAGUAUAUUCCUGAGAAAGCCCCACUAGAUAGUGUCCAUCAAGAUGACCAUUCCUUGCGGGAGUCAAUGAUCCAGCUAGCUGAGGGGCUUAUCACUGGAACAGUACUGGCACAGUUUGAUCAACUCUAUCGGAAAAAACCUGGAAUGACAAUGUCUUGUGCCAAAUUACCUCAGAACAUUUCCAAAAACAGAUACAGAGAUAUUUCACCUUAUGAUGCUACACGGGUCCUUUUAAAAGGUAAUGAAGACUACAUCAAUGCAAACUAUAUAAAUAUGGAAAUUCCUUCUUCAAGUAUUAUAAAUCAAUACAUUGCUUGUCAAGGGCCAUUACCACACACUUGUAAAGAUUUUUGGCAAAUGACUUGGGAACAAGGCUCCUCCAUGGUUGUGAUGUUGACCACACAAGUUGAACGUGGCAGAGUUAAAUGUCACCAGUAUUGGCCAGAACCCUCAGAAAGCUCAUCCUAUGGAUGCUAUCAAGUCACCUGCCACUCUGAAGAAGGAAACCCUGCCUAUAUCUUCAGGAAGAUGACACUGUUUAACCAAGAGAAAAAUGAGAGCCGUCAACUUACUCAGAUUCAGUACACAGCCUGGCCUGACCAUGGAGUACCUGAUGAUUCGAGUGACUUUCUGGAUUUUGUUUGUCAUGUACGAGACCAGAGGGCUGGAAAAGAAGAGCCCAUUAUUGUUCAUUGCAGAAAAGCCACAAAUUUAGCAAUUGUACCACUAAAACUUUGCACAUCCGUCUGUCCUUUUUCAGUGCUGGAAUUGGAAGGACUGGGGUUCUUAUUACUAUGGAAACUGCCAUGUGUCUCAUUGAAUGCAAUCAGCCAGUUUAUCCACUAGACAUUGUAAGAACAAUGAGAGAUCAAAGAGCAAUGAUGAUCCAAACACCUAGUCAAUACAGAUUUGUAUGUGAAGCUAUUCUGAAAGUUUAUGAAGAAGGAUUUGUUAAACCAUUAACAACAUCAUCAAAUAAAUAAAACAAAAAGGUUGGAACAAGUACUGGGAAACUGAUUUUGUUAUGUUCACUGUGCCAUAAUACUGCUUGCAAGAAAUGGCCUCUCACACAAAAAGUGAAGAACUCAAAAAGACGUCAAGAACUUCAGCACUACUGCACUUUAUGUUUUAAAAAGUCACUCAAAACCUAUUACUCACAUGGUUGACCAUUUUGUGCUUUGCUCUGAACGACGAGUGAAAACUGAAUAUGUUCAGGGUAGUUUAUGGAAUUUUGAGGUGUUGCCAUGCAGUCCCCUCGGGUAGAAUUGCCACAGAUAAGGCUCAGAAUUCUCAUCUCUUACACACCCGUACCUUGAAAGCAAAAAGGAGUAAACAUCAGGAGUCUGCUCUGGUCUUUCCCAGUGGUUCAUGUACUCGCUCUACUGAGUACCAGAUUUUAUUUUUCAAAUGUUAGCAAUACCAUUCUCAACAUUAGCCAGUACACUGCCUGUGGAUGCAGCACAUCUUCCCUGCCAUCCCAAUAGGGACCUGCUGUUGAGAAGAACAUUGGAACGUGCUGUUCCCAGGAAAUGCUGCACAGUGUCCAUUUACCAGCAUCUCAGAGAACUAACUAUGAAUCUAUGGAUUUUCUUGGAUUUAAUGAUGUAACUUAUAUUUAUCAUAAGGUUGGCUUAUUCCAAAUCAUGUGAUUUCACAUUCUUGAUGUAAAGGAAUGCAUGCAUCGUGUCUUAACCCCUUAAGUGCCUUGAGAUAUCUUUGUCUAAUGAAAAGGCACUCAUUUGACCCCAUAGGAGGUAUGUAUGUAUACUGUACAUUCUUAUAGUUUUAUGAAUUUUUAAUAAGUUCACAGUGUUUUUAAAAACCAGCUUCUUAUGUUGAGAGUUAUACAAAGAAGGGUAAGGACAUUCUGUUUCUUACUCAGUGCUUGCUUGGACUUUGCCAUAAAAGCCAGGAUCUCUGUAUUCUGCUGAGAGUGCAUCUGCUGCUAUGGAAUUGUUCACAGUCUGUACAUUCCGUUACUGAGUGACAGGGGUUAAAGUUUAGCAGCGUAACUUAAAAGAGGGUUUAUUCUUCAAAUUUCAUAUUUACUUUAUCCUAAGUUAAAAAGUGUUGUUUAACAUGUAUAUUAGAAAUAAAUAUAUUGGUACUCUUAAGUUAUAGUGACAGAGUUAAUUAGUUGGAAUAUUAACAUCUAUAACUAAAGUGUUGCCCUGAAGCAUCAUUCUAGGUCAUAUCAGGCUGUCUUCACACUGCUCUUUUCAUUGGGAUUCUUUAGACAAGGAAUUAGACACUAUUGACUUUCUCUAAAUGUGACCCUUCAUAAUAGUAAAAUGACAGUUUUCAUGUCAUCAUAGUUUAUAUAUACCUAUUAAAUUAUAAGCAUGUCAGUGAGUCCAUCUUGAUGGGAGAUCCAGCUCCCAUUGCAGAUGUGUAUGUUUUCCUUGUUUUAAGUCUAUGGAGACAGAUUUUUAAAAUUGCCCAUUUAAUGUGAGAACUUGCUCACUUUUUCACAUGUUAUUUUAUAUGGAUAUGGUUAAAAUAGACACAUUUGCUAGUGGUUUCAGAUUACUUAUGCAGUCUUGAUAAAACAUAGGUUCCAAUGGUAGAUGUUUUGGAAUGCUAUUUAGUUGGGAGAAUGAUAUACAUUUAAAAAUCUUUAGUAAAAUAUAAAUCAUUGUUUCAUAUAUUCAGAAUCCAUAAUAGUAAAAUUCAGUAUUUAAAUAUUAAUUGCCAGGGUACCAAAUAAAUUGUCACUUAUAAAUAUUUCUUGUCUUAUUUUUAAAGAAAGAAAUAAACAUAUCUUUACAUCAAACAGAAGUCCCCCUAUUCUGAUUUCACAUGCAAGACAAUAUUAGUCAGUGAACUAUAAUUUUGCUCAGACAUUCCAUUCUCUACCCAGAGGCAAAUGUAAUUUAGGCUGGUAGGAUAUCAUUGCAAGUUAAAAAGGGAUAUUGGGUUGGAGAUCUACACAUUAUAAAGCUAUUUUAUUUCAUUGGUCGAUUUUAGCCUAAAUUUUAAAUCUUGCCAUGUGGGUAGAAGGUGACAACCAUAGACCGAAAGAGAAAAGCUAGUAGAAGGGCAGUGUCGUGAUUCAUUUGCUCUUUAAUGUAAAGCUUUGGGUACAUUUCUGUAGAUAACACUGCUGUUGGCAGUGAGCUUUGCUGCCUUUUAAGUCGGCAGUGCUUGUUUUUAAGUGACAAGGGGAGAAAUAAAUUUAAAUUUCUCAUAGAAAUUCUUGUCUAAGAACUAUACUCCAUUAGUAUUUUACGUGUGAAAACAGCCCUUUUAGAGUAUUUAUUAGGAUCCUAAGCUAAUCGUAGCCUUCACAAAUUGUUACUAUGGAUAUGCUAAUUAAAUUUUGCUAGUUACCUAACAUAUAACAGUCCUUUACAUCUAAGCAUCUAAUCAGUUAAUUAAUCUAAAUAGAUUUCUAGAAAUAAUGCUAGUUUUCAUACGCCAGGUAGUGCUACACUCCAUACAUAUUGAUGUAAUAUUGUGUGACAAUACCCAAAUUUCUUGAAUCGAACUACUUUUCCAUUUCACUCGCCACUUGUAAGUCCACACCCCGACAAACUCAAGAAAUAAUGUGUUUCUCCCAACAAGUGAAAAGUCAGUAUUGGUGAGUCAGGUCUUUUGUACAUGCUAAAAGUAAAUGUGAAAAACUUCCUUCCCUAAAUUCACAUGACUUUUCUGCUUCUUUUAUUGGGCAUUUGGUUAUGUCAGCACUGCCGAGAUGCUCUGUAGUAAUCUUUUGAAGUAGAUUUUGCAUUCACAAAAAGAAUAGGUUGUAUUUGCUAAACUAAUCCAUUCAUUCAAAAGUGAGACAGAAUAAAUAGCUCAAGAAAAGCUUGUGUGUAGUUUGCUGGGCCAAGUAAUUGGGAAAGGGUAAUGACUGAUCAUUUUGACUUAAGAAUAAAGGUAACAGUGUAUGAAAGUUGACUUCACAUGCACUUAUGCUGAGCCAUUAGGACGGUUGCUUGAAAGUUUUGGGUACUACUACUGUACGUGCCUUCAUAGAGAAAGAUGAGUGCAUUGAUUUGCAUGUGUACUUCAUAAAGACAUGUCCACAGACUUUUAACCAUGGGGUUGUUUAUAUCUCUUGGCAGGUCUGACCAAGUCUAAUGAGUUACUUGAGCAAAAAAUCUCUUGUCUCACUAGAAGUAGUACUUGAGAGCUAAAAAUUUGAAAGAUUUUGUUCAGUUUUUAUGUCCUUGUUAUUAUAAGAAGGACCACAGGUCCAGCAAUUAAUUUAGCAGAAUCUAGUCAUCUUCAGAUUUUCUAAUUCUCAAUUUAGUGUUGCUGUAUUAGACUAUAACUUCAGUAAAUUGUGACUAUGAUCAGUACUUGUAAAGUUUACCUAUUUCUACUUGGGAGGCAUGCUCAGUUGUCACUUGGAACCUGUGACACCUUAGAAGUUUGAAAGGAGCCUUCAGAAGUGAUGCCAAUUAGGAACUGGACUCAGUUUGCUAGAGCUUCCCUAACAGAUUAGCAUAAGCGAUCGUGAAGUAUUUAGGCUGAUACACAUGCAGUAUAAAACUGAACUGCAAGUAGGAAAGCAAUUUUAAAGCACUUAAAACAUUGAACUGAGAUUUGGAACUUAUACCUACCUACAAAAUAACAUAUUCAUGUGAACAUGUGAUAAGAUAGAAAAUAGCUUGUUUAGCAGAAAGAGAAAAGGAAACAUGAACUUACAGCAAUAUGCUAUUUAAUGUCUGUGUUUGGAAUAUUUAAAAUAUCUGAUGGUAAAGUUGCCAAAGUAGUUUUGAAUUCAUGUAAGUUGUUUAUACUACAACAAUGUGGGGUAUGUUUACAGGCUCUUUAGAGUACUUACUUUGUAGUUCUGAUGAAGUUUGUCAUUUGUAUUUAAAUCAUUUAUAGUAACUAUAUGAUGAUAAAUAUUUGCUGGAGUAAAUAUGUCAAUAAUAUAGCAAAACGUAUCUAAGUGAUCCCACAGUCUGCUUUCAUACAAGGUGCUGUGUCCAGAAAGCGAGUGCUUUGUGUUAACAUUGCUCACAUCCCACGCUUGCACCAAACUUCCAGCUGCCAUUCCUAGAACCAUGUGUGGUGCUUCCUCCAAGUAAAACAGCUGUGUUAUCCUAAGUGGAUUGAAUUUAUCAACUAUCAGAAAUACUAACCUAUUAACAGAUAUUUGUGUCUCAGUGUGAUCACAAAGUGUAGCAACUUUCAUGAAAUUCUUAGAGAAUUAUUUACAUGCAAAGAAAUUUAGCUAAUCCUAAAACUUUUAGAGGGCUAAUUGCUAAUAGAUAAUUUCAUCAAUUUUAAGAGUAAAAGAAAUCAGUCCCAGAAUUAUAUGUUCUGGGUUCGGCUUUUUACCACAAUUCUUAUUUUGCAUGGAUUUCAUUUACUCUUAGUAGUAGUUAUUAUAUUUCUCUAUGUUACCAGAAACAACAACCCAUAUAUUCCAUCCCGCAAUUACUUGAUUUUCAUGCCUUAUUGAAUUCUUUUGAGUAGAUACCAUAAAGUUAUUUUCUGUUUCCAUAUAUCAGUCUGCUGCUGCUUAUUUACAUUUUUCUACUAUGGUAGACUGUUGAUAUCUAAAGUCAUUGUUUAUUUUUUUAGUCCUCCAAAGGUAAAUGGGCAGCCAUUAGUCAUAGCUGCUUGACGGCAGUCCAUCUAUAUUGGCUAGGUAUGGCUCAGUGCGUAAGCAAGUACACCAUUUGCAGAAAAGUAUUAGCAAUAUUGCAAGUUAAAGCUACACUGUUAAGGAAGAGUUUAAAUGUUUAACUUCCUGGAGCUUUGUAAAAUUUCCAGUAUAAGGAUGAAAAAGAAAGCCUUGUUAAGGUUAUAAAAGUUUCAAUUAAACACUGUAGAGUUUUCCUAUUCUUAUGUAAAUGAUAUACAGAAAAUAUUUUUCUAUGAACAGAAGGUUAAAACUUUAAUUUCAUUGCUUAAAAGGGAUAAAACAAUAUUUGUAUGUCUUUCAUGCUGUAAAGAAAAUGAAUGUAUCUUUCAAAUGUUCGAGUUGUUACUUGAUUCUAAGUAUAUGUGUUUUAGAAAAGCAAACUGCAAAAGGUUGAAGAGUCUUACAAGUCAUUAUGUAAAAUGCAAUGUUGGAAGAAAUGGAAUUUCAUUAUAAAUGAGUAGUCACUAUCAAAGCAUAUUUCAGAUAUAGUGUACAUUCAUUUUCACAUUGAUUUGUUUUAUUUCUAGAAAUGUUUCUUAAAAAUUGUAUAUACUGUUUUGAGUGUAACGUAAUUGAUUUCUAACUUGUGUUAGGCUUAGUGUGCUGCUGCAUGUGUCUACCAUGGAGGAAAGUUCCCAAGCUUUGUCAGUGUCACAGCCACCAGUAGGGGCAUCAUUGUGAGAAUGUGAAACCCAUGCCUAAGAGCCACUGCAGUAAAUAUGUGCAGAGGCCUCUGACUGUGCUAAUGUGUUUCCCUUUUUAUCUUCAAUGACAUAUAUAGUAAGACUACUGGACCGAACUCUCCUGACUUGUAACAGUGGUGGCUUGUAUGCUUACAACUUUAUUCAGCUGAGUGAAGACUCUUUAAACCAGUGCCCAUAGGUGUGAGUGAUUUGUUCAAUAGCUUCCUUAAAUCUAGUAUUUACCAGUUAUUAAACUUGAUGAAAAUUGGGAAUUCAUUGUUUUGACACUUUUCUAGCCAUUCAUACUUAUUUCAACUCAUGAUGUACCCUGAACAACCAAAAAGUGAUCCAUGGUUAGUGUCAUAUUUCCUCUACCCCAGCAGUUACAAAGUUUAGCACUGCUAAAUAACUGAUGACUUAGAAGUUGCAUUGUUAAAUACAGUCACUGCCAAGGAUCAUCAAGGAGAUAGCUUUCUUUAACCUUUGGCCCAGAUAGUUGCUGCUUCCUGGUUUCCCUAGAUGUGCUAGCUAUAUAUCUGGUAUAUGUCUUCAUAUCCACUAUAGUAACAAUUGGGCCUAGUUUACCCUUUAAAAGUUUUUUGUUUUCCACUCAUAUACUAUUCCAGUUAUCUUCCUUCCCAAGAUUGUCUGGAUUCAUUUUCCCAGUGUUUGAAUGAGUUAACAAGAUCCCUCACUCCUGAAUCCUGUAGAGUCCUUUUUCAGUGCUAAAAUUGUUUUCCAAUAGCACUUUAUUUCAUGCCUACUACUGAUUUAAUUUAUACAUUAAAAAUAUCUAUCCUAGAGUUUGUAAAUACAGAAAAGCAAUUGAUUAGUAGUAGAGUUUAUUAGAUUGGCCCCAAGUUUAAAUGCUUUAUAAUGAUCUCUUGAUAGCUUCUUUGAUACUUAAGAGGUAACUUAUGUGACUUUAGCUCUGCCGUUUUCCUGUAAUUUGUAUAAUACAGUAGAGGCUGCCCAGCCAACUAUAUUGCUGGACUUAUUUCUCUCAGCUAGCUUCAGCCGAGCUUGGUUACUAAAACUGUUUUUGUGCUCUGAGUUUUGGACAUCACAUGAAUAUUUGGAAAUCUGUUUGUUUUCAGUAUAGUACCUAAAGAUUUAGUAGAUACUGCACCACAAGUUCAUAGUUUAUAUGAAAGACAAAGGGCAGAAUUUAUAAUAUUGUAACAGUUUAUAUUAAGCUGUUUUUAUAAUCUGCCAGUACAAUACAUCUGCUGUAAAAAUAUAAAAGUUGUCUACCCCAGUGGUCUCCAGCACAGAACACACCAAUUCUAAACUAUGCUGUGGACUUUUAAAUAAGAAAGGCUAGUUAUUGUCUUCUACAGGGUAGGUUAACUUUAGGCCUGAUAGCUUAUACUUAUCAGUACUGUUUUAAACAGGAGUUUAAAAAUUAUUUUUUUGUAGAGGGUAUUUUAAUUUGGGAACUUUCUUUUUUUGUAAUAGGUGCUAUAUGUAAAUAUGGAGUGAGAAGUUGCUUGAUUAAAGGUCUAGUUUAUUUCCUUAUUAAAAUACUUUUCAUUUCUGUUUCCAUUUCAUGGUUUCUGCUGAACUUAAUAGCAAAAUAGAAUUAGUCCCUUAAAGUUGUAGACUACCUUUUCUCACAGUUGUACAAACUAAUUUCCAUAUGGUUUGGUCUCAGAUUAAGAGGCAAAGAAGCUAAGAGUGAAAACAAAAUACAUAAGCUUGAAUUUGGUCAACACUGGACUAUUAGAAAUUAUCACUGUGCACUUGUCACUGCAGUUUACUUUGUGUCUGAAAGGCAUUGUGUGUGUGUCAUAAUUUCAGUGAAAAUUAGAAUUCCUGCCAUUCAUGUUUAAACAAUCCACACAUAGCAACAGUGAACAGGAUAAAAAUGCUGGUUUGCAUUGAAACUGUUUUAGUCCUAACCUCAAUUUAUAUUAUGCAAAAUACAUUUACAGAUAUUUUGUUGGUUAUAUUUCAUUUUGAUUUAGUACUUGUUCAGGUACAAAUGUGAAACGAAAAAAAAAACCCACCUAGCUGUUAAUGUUCAAUUGAAAAAUAAAGAUGCGCUUUAGUAAUCUAA
Mus musculus (house mouse) is the source of this 10874-nucleotide RNA transcript. It is a transcript of the gene named protein tyrosine phosphatase, non-receptor type 4, with no coding region annotated. Lineage: Eukaryota; Metazoa; Chordata; Mammalia; Rodentia; Muridae. The record is from RefSeq and is marked validated. The transcript is spliced from 27 exons.